RNAcentral lists this ribosomal RNA (372 nucleotides) under uncultured organism. Its description in RNAcentral is "bacterial SSU rRNA". It matches the Rfam family "Bacterial small subunit ribosomal RNA", at positions 526 to 896 of the family's 1533-position model. The record is from RNAcentral.
CGAAGGGGACUAGCGUUGUUCGGAAUUACUGGGCGUAAAGCGCGCGUAGGCGGAUCGCUAAGUCAGGGGUGAAAUCCCAGGGCUCAACCCUGGAACUGCCUUUGAAACUGUCUCUCUAGAGGAUUGACGGAGAAAGGGGAAUUCCACGUGUAGCGGUGAAAUGCGUAGAUACGUGGAGGAACACCGGUGGCGAAAGCGCCUUUCUAGUUUAGACCUGACGCUGAGGCGCGAGAGCAAGGGGAGCAAACAGGAUUAGAUACCCUGGUAGUCCUUGUCGUAAACGAUGUUUACUUGAUGUAGUUAGGCUCAACCCUGACUGUGUCGUAGCUAACGCGAUAAGUAAACCGCCUGAGGAGUACGCUCGCAAGGGUG